CCUACGGGUGGCUGCAGUGGGGAAUAUUGGACAAUGGGCGAAAGCCUGAUCCAGCCAUGCCGCGUGUGUGAAGAAGGCCUUCGGGUUGUAAAGCACUUUCAGUGGGGAAGAAAGCCUUGGGGCUAAUACCCUCGAGGAAGGACAUCACCCACAGAAGAAGCACCGGCUAACUCCGUGCCAGCAGCCGCGGUAAUACGGAGGGUGCGAGCGUUAAUCGGAAUUACUGGGCGUAAAGCGCGCGUAGGCGGUCUGAUAAGCCGGUUGUGAAAGCCCCGGGCUCAACCCGGGAACGGCAUCCGGAACUGUCAGGCUAGAGUGCAGGAGAGGAAGGUAGAAUUCCCGGUGUAGCGGUGAAAUGCGUAGAGAUCGGGAGGAAUACCAGUGGCGAAGGCGGCCUUCUGGACUGACACUGACGCUGAGGUGCGAAAGCGUGGGUAGCAAACAGGACUAGAUACCCUUGUAGUC
Molecule: ribosomal RNA, 465 nt
Filed under: Vreelandella stevensii
Lineage: Bacteria; Pseudomonadati; Pseudomonadota; Gammaproteobacteria; Oceanospirillales; Halomonadaceae
Description: partial 16S ribosomal RNA
Rfam family: Bacterial small subunit ribosomal RNA
Source: RNAcentral